Molecule: non-coding RNA, 418 nt
Organism: Oryzias latipes (Japanese medaka)
Lineage: Eukaryota; Metazoa; Chordata; Actinopteri; Beloniformes; Adrianichthyidae
Source: RefSeq, a predicted model, not a curated record
GUCGCUUCAUUAGCAAAGACGGCCCUUUAUGAUGUGUUUACGACCGAAUACCUGACUCUGAAUGUACUUAAGCUUAAAUCAGAAAGAGGUGAAAGGCGGUUUGAGUGCGUCUGGCACAUGAGUGACACACGGGAACCAACGUAAACGGAAGAAAAAAGUCUGGCCCAAAGCUGGAGGACGCCAUCAUGGAAACACAUGCAAACACGCAUGUUCAGGACGGCUUCAUGUUCAGGACGUUUUCAGCCCCUCAGGGAAGCAGAACCGGGUCUGAAUCUGCAAGGACCCAAAGAAUCGUGGUACCGGAGAGAAGACAAUCAGACGGAGAAGGAUGAGGAGGAGCGCUGCGGUUGAGAAACCAAUCCAGACACAAAACAGAGAUCUGGAGUACAGAGGUGGCAGGACUGAGAAAGGGGUAAAA